GUAGGUGGCAAGCGUUGUCCGGAAUUAUUGGGCGUAAAGCGCGCGCAGGCGGUUCUUUAAGUCUGAUGUGAAAGCCCACGGCUCAACCGUGGAGGGUCAUUGGAAACUGGAGAACUUGAGUACAGAAGAGGAAAGCGGAAUUCCACGUGUAGCGGUGAAAUGCGUAGAGAUGUGGAGGAACACCAGUGGCGAAGGCGGCUUUCUGGUCUGUAACUGACGCUGAGGCGCGAAAGCGUGGGGAGCAAACAGGGAUUAGAUACCCUGGUAGUCCACGCCGUAAACGAUGAGUGCUAAGUGUUAGGGGGGUUUUCCCGCCCCCUUAGUGCUGCAGCUAACGCAUUAAGCACUCCGCCUGGGGAGUACGGCCGCAAGGCUG
RNAcentral lists this ribosomal RNA (376 nucleotides) under uncultured organism. Its description in RNAcentral is "partial 16S ribosomal RNA". It matches the Rfam family "Bacterial small subunit ribosomal RNA", at positions 527 to 896 of the family's 1533-position model. The record is from RNAcentral.